Molecule: long non-coding RNA, 1182 nt
Filed under: Chloebia gouldiae (Gouldian finch)
Lineage: Eukaryota; Metazoa; Chordata; Aves; Passeriformes; Passeridae
Description: Erythrura gouldiae (Gouldian finch) lncRNA (ENSEGOG00005014564.1)
Source: RNAcentral
CACGCCAGGCUAUGAAUGGGAGCAGAGAGUUCUCCGUCUGCCAAGCCACACUGCAGCAACUCGUUUGCAGAGAACCGAGCACCUUGCUGCUGGUGUGACCAGUUUCAGGUCACAGCAAGUGCUGACAAAGCUCCUGCCAAGCCACAGGAGGCUGAUACAGGCGAAGAGGAGCAGUCCCCAUCAGGAGGGAGGCUGAGGAGAGGAUGCCCAGGGUAGAGGCUUCCUGGGUCCUCCAGGACCAGGACCUGGGUGCCCUUUGUGCUGCCAGAUGGAUCUGCUGUGGGAGGAAGGAUGUGUGGAGUUUCUCUUCAGUGACAAUCAGCAGUGCCGAGGGUCUGACCUGAUGCUUUCACUCCCAUCCAUCAGGUUUUUGUUUCCCUGGUGGUUUGUGUCCACCUUUCACGUUUUGUAGGGGCAAGAGCAGCAUCAGAAAGCGCAGAUCAGGCUCCUGAGAAAGAUGAGCUUUGUGCACUGUUGUUUUCCAUGCUCCAGGAUGCUCCUCCUAUGAAACCUAGGAGUAGAAGCCAGGUUUUGUCAAUAUGACACAGGAGUAGAGCAACUGAAGGGUAUUUAUUUGCCUUUGGUCCCCUCUCCCCACCUUUCUUGAUACCUCACCAAGGGAUGCAGAGGCUUUUUUCUGCUCCAUCACCCAACCAGCCAGGACUUUGAGACCAUGCCCAGGCAAGGCCAGCCUGGAGGAGGGUGGGUGCUGCCCAGGGCAGGGUGGGUGGUGCCCAGCGUGAUGAGUGGAUGGAGUGGAUGGAGUGAGUGGGUCCCUCCUUUCUUGUUGCUCCUGAGCAUUUCUCAGGUGGGGAUUAGGCCGUGCUCUCCUGGCACAAGCAGGAGCAGCGCAGCAAUGCCCAGCUGUUGUUUUCCCCUGCCCCACUUGUUUCUCCUGAAAGCUCGAUAUCGAUGCCAAGCGGUGUUUUCGCAAAUCAAUGACAGGCUGUCAGCGUCAGGUGCCUCCUGCGCAAGUAUCUAAAAGGAAUUUCCCAUGUCCCAGCUUGUUCCCGUUGCCUCUCCUCUCCCCAUGCACCUCAGAAAGUGUGACUCCACCUUCACAGAAUCCCAGAAUGGAUUGAUUGACUUGGAAGUGACCUCAAAUCUCAUCUUGUUCCACCACCUUCCACUAUCCCAUAUUGCUCCAGGCCCUGUCCAACCUGGCCUUAGCCUGGGAUAGGG